This 244-nucleotide long non-coding RNA is filed under the name Setaria italica (foxtail millet). RNAcentral's name for it is "long non-coding RNA (SITA_LNC001043)". The record is from RNAcentral. Lineage: Eukaryota; Viridiplantae; Streptophyta; Magnoliopsida; Poales; Poaceae.
ACACUCUUGGAUUUACAUGUGCCAACUCCAGACACUACACCUCCAAAUACCUGGAACGAUGAGCUUCGAUUUGCAUAUGGCUUUACUCCUAAGACUCGAUCAGCGGGCCUCACUUCAAGAGCUGAUGUAGUCGUAGGCAAAGGUAGCUCCAACAUCUUCAAGCCUUCUCUCACGAGCACCAGGCAACUAGGAUGGACUGGUCUUCUAGUACACCCCCUAGCCACUCUUUGCUGGUGUUCGUGAG